AAGUAUGGUUUACCUCAUCUAGGGUUUUUUUUUUCUUCUCUGUUUUUUCUUACACAUCUACCACUACUUUGAGAAUCUGACUGAUCUCGCCUUCUGAACAUGAGACUUGUGAAUCUGUUGCUCCUCUCUCCCUAUUAGACAGCCAUCAGCCAGUUUAUCUUUAGGUGUAUGAAUGAGUCCACACCCAUGAUAGCUAAGAAUAAUAGUUGCCCUGAUAGCCUACAAUUGACCUCAGAUAGGUCAUCAGCAAACACUUACUGUUGAAUGUCACUCCACUCUCUAUUGGUGCCUUAUCACACAAUCUCACUGCAGCAACAGAUACUUGACACAUCACUCAAUCAUAAAAAUAAACAUGAGAUGACAAUUGCAGUGUGUUCUCUGAAGAUCAGCAAUAGUUUCUCUAACCUAGCUAGGUUAAGAGAUCAAGGAACACUUUGUGUUUUGUUUUUAAAGAGAAAUACAUGUACCACCACUACCUGGCCUAAGUAACAGACUUGCCAGACUGGAGAAAUGGCUCUGCAGUUAAGAGCACUGACUGUUCUUCCAGAGAGGCCCUCCCUCCAAUUCCAGACACCCACAUGGUGGCUCACAAGCAUAUGAAAUUCCACCCCCGCCCCCAGGGGUGUAUCUGACACCCUCUUUUGGCCUCUGUGGGCACUGCAUGCAUAGACAAAGGCAAAUGAAGUACACAUGUAAAAUUAAAACCUGGAAAAAUUAAAAUAAGAAAAAAAGAUGUGUGAUCUUAGAUCUAAAAAUAUGCAGGAGCUAGAGAGAUGGCCCAUACCUGAUGCUCUUCCAUGUGGAGAGCCGUGCGUGCCGUGAGCAAUCGCCAUUAUAAGAUGGUGCUGGCCUCCACUGUGCCUAACUAGUAAAGAAGCCUUGUACGCAGGUGCGAGAGUGAAUUCACGCCUAGUCACUGCCCAUCUCGGGGCGUAAUAAUGGGGUGAUGGGUGAGCAACGAAUCAGGAGCUGUCACGCCACAUCAGGUGCUGAAAUGUCACGCUGCGGGCUAUAUAAGCAGUGCCAUUUUCUGGGUUCGGGGUCUUCCUCCUGAGAAGUAAGCAAUAAAGCUUUGCCGCAG
Molecule: long non-coding RNA, 1081 nt
Filed under: Mus musculus (house mouse)
Lineage: Eukaryota; Metazoa; Chordata; Mammalia; Rodentia; Muridae
Description: long non-coding RNA chr18:44677575-44678656
Source: RNAcentral